RNAcentral lists this ribosomal RNA (253 nucleotides) under uncultured bacterium. Its description in RNAcentral is "partial 16S ribosomal RNA". It matches the Rfam family "Bacterial small subunit ribosomal RNA", at positions 524 to 776 of the family's 1533-position model. The record is from RNAcentral.
GACAUAGGUGGCAAACGUUAUCCGGAAUUAUUGGGCGUAAAGAGUGCGUAGGUGGUUUAAUAAGUUACUGGUGGGAAAUCGGGACUCAACCCCGUGGAAGUCAGUAAUACUAUUAAACUAGAGGACCGGAGAGGUUAACGGAAUUCUAUGUGUAGCGGUAAAAUGCGUAAAUAUCGCUUGGAACGCCAAUGGUGAAAACAGCUCGCUGGGGGUGUGCUGACGCUGAGACACGAAAGCCAGGGGAGCGAACGGG